GGGGUAAUAGCUCAUUGGUAGAGAACAUGCUUAUCAUGCACGAGGUCCUGGGUUCUAUCCCCAGUACCCCCA
RNAcentral lists this transfer RNA (72 nucleotides) under Camelus bactrianus (Bactrian camel). It matches the Rfam family "tRNA". From Rfam's summary of the family: Transfer RNA (tRNA) molecules are approximately 80 nucleotides in length. Their secondary structure includes four short double-helical elements and three loops (D, anti-codon, and T loops). RNAcentral also lists the same sequence under 2 other names. Lineage: Eukaryota; Metazoa; Chordata; Mammalia; Artiodactyla; Camelidae. The record is from Rfam by way of RNAcentral.